AGAAAUGGGGAACCCUCUCCCAAGGACA
This 28-nucleotide transfer RNA is filed under the name Eulemur fulvus mayottensis. RNAcentral's name for it is "partial tRNA-Thr". Lineage: Eukaryota; Metazoa; Chordata; Mammalia; Primates; Lemuridae. RNAcentral also lists the same sequence under 3 other names. The record is from RNAcentral.